RNAcentral lists this ribosomal RNA (252 nucleotides) under uncultured bacterium. RNAcentral's name for it is "partial 16S ribosomal RNA". It matches the Rfam family "Bacterial small subunit ribosomal RNA", at positions 524 to 776 of the family's 1533-position model. The record is from RNAcentral.
UACGGAGGAUGCGAGCGUUAUCUGGAUUUAUUGGGUUUAAAGGGUGCGCAGGCGGCACGGCAAGCCGGCGGUCAAAUCGCGGGGCUCAACCCCGCCCAGCCGUCGGAACUGCCGGGCUAGAGUGGGCGAGAAGUGCGCGGAAUGCGUGGUGUAGCGGUGAAAUGCAUAGAUAUCACGCAGAACUCCGAUUGCGAAGGCAGCGCACCGGCGCCCUACUGACGCUCAGGCACGAAAGCGUGGGUAUCGAACAGG